Lotus japonicus is the source of this 1686-nucleotide RNA transcript. It is a transcript of the gene named protein IN CHLOROPLAST ATPASE BIOGENESIS, chloroplastic-like, with no coding region annotated. The record is from RefSeq and is a predicted model, not a curated record. NCBI's taxonomy places the organism in Eukaryota, Viridiplantae, Streptophyta, Magnoliopsida, Fabales, Fabaceae. The transcript has 12 exons.
UUUUUUAAAAAAGAGAAAAGGAAAAUAGAUAAGGCGAGGGAAACGGAAGGCAAACGAAAAAGGCGAAAAGAGAAUGAAGAUCGGCGGCGGGGUAUUGUAUCGCGGUGGUGCACGCGGCAGCAACGUCGUGCCGCUGCUUCUCAGCCACCGCGGAGCUUCUACUCUUCGCGUCUCUGCUUCUUCUUCCAUUUCCGUUGCAGACCACGUCUCUUUCGUAAAAGACGUAGCCAAAACUCAGCCUCCUCAGCAUCUCUCACAACUCUUGACGAUUCUGCAAACCAGAGGUGAUUCUAUUAUCUCUCCCGGCGCCAGGCAAGGAUUGAUUCCCCUUGCUAUACCACUGUCGAAAAACAGCUCAGGUAGUGUGACGGCAUUGCUGCGGUGGCCAACGGCUCCAUCCGAAAUGGAAAUGCCAGUGGUGGAAGUCAGAAGUUAUGGAGUGUGGCUUUUAGCCAAGACUGUGGACCAAUUUAUUCAUAGAAUAUUGGUUGAAGAAGAUGUAAAGAACAGUCAAGAGAGAAAUGAAGAACUCUUUUAUGCUUCAGCUGAUGCUGGGGAGAAGCUUUAUAGAAAAGGCGAUUUUGCACAGUCUGGAAUUUCUAACCUAGAUGGCUAUCUUUUGAAAAAGGUUGGUAUCUUUCCAGAUAUCCUAGAGCGCAAGGUGAAACGACAUUUUGAGGAAGGGGAUAAUGUUUCAGCUUUGGUAACGGGGGAAUUUUAUACUAAGAAGGAACAUUUUCCAGGAUUUGCACGACCUUUUGUGUUCAAUGCUGAGGUUUUGUUGAGGGUUGGGCGUAAUACAGAAGCUAAAGAUGCUGCCAGGGGAGCUUUGAAAUCACCAUGGUGGACUCUGGGCUGCAAAUAUCAUGAUGUGGCUAAUAUAGCACAAUGGGACGAUGAGCAAAUUGAGUACAUUAAAGAGAAAGUGACUGAAGAGGGAAGGCAAGAAGAUCUUAAAAAGGGGAAGGCACCUGCACAGGUUGUACUAGAUGAAGCUGCUUUCUUGCUGGAUUUGGCUUCUAUAGACGGAAAUUGGGAUGACUAUUUGGACCGGAUUGGCAAGUGUUACGAGGAAGCAGGACUAUCUGAUGUCGCAAAAUUUAUUCUUUAUAGAGAUUAAUAUACUUGGCAGAUUUUCUUCCACCUGCAAGCUUCAGUGCCUUCCCGUUUCGGCAUUUUAUACAAUUUAUUCUACAGGUACGAUGGCCAAAGACUUAACAGAAGCACUGUCAUCCUGGCCUUGAAGUCUGUUCAAAACUAAUACCUUUUCCAGGGGCUGUAUAAAACCAGGAAUGCAGGUGGGACUGGAGCUUCUGUUACUUACUUUGCAAACCUUGGCUUUGUGAUUAUCUUCAGCCAACAUCCGAUCCAAUAGAGAAAGUCGAUUUUUCAUCUUCAUUGCUUUCUUUGGGAAAGUAGUUGAGUUUGUAAUUGCAUGGCAUUGGGCAGCUACAGCGUUGUCAAAGAGGGAGGCAUCCUUUGGUGCAGCCAAUGCUGAGUUUGUAAUUGCAUGGCAUUGGGCGGCUACAGCGUUGUCAAAGAGGGAGGCAUCCUUUGGUGCAGCCAAUGCCUUCAACUGCUUCCCAAGGUUAAGGAUGGUCUCUUGACACUCUGCCAACUUUUCUGAAGCAGCUGUUAUCUCCCAGUCCUGUAGGAUUGGUAAACAACCCUCAAACUCAAUACAGG